UGUACUGAUUAAAAAAAUGAUAAAUCACAAGAAAUAACAGGUUAGAUUCAAUAACCAGAAUGGUUUUAUAAGGAACAUUGCCAUUGAUCAAUGAGACUCAAAUGGUGACAGGGGGAAGCCUAACUCAUUAAUUACAGUGGUAGGUAGAUGUGCAAUAAGUACUCAUUGCUCAGGAGUUCAAAUAUUUUAUGGAGGCAUAGGAUAGAUACAAAAAUCUCUGCCCUCUCAAAUGCCCUUGCCUUUUGUAUUUGCUUACUAGUCCAUUACUCACCUGGAAGACGCACAUGAAAUCACAGUUCUCUACACAUACAUGUAACACAAAGAGCUUAUGCUGGAAGCAGUAAAAGCCAGAACACAAAACUGAUUACAGAACAGACAAUGUAAUUCAGUCUUUUCUUGUAUACCAUUUCUAAUCAAAGAACCAGAAACCAGUUUGCUACAUUUUGCAGACCAAAAGCAAUCUGUCAUGUUUCUAAUUUGUUGGGUUGGUGAGAUUGUGUGCAAGGCCCCAAACCUGAACUCUGAAGCACUUGUCUCUUGUUUCCUCAGAAACUGGAAAUUCUGCAGCAACUUAAAGCUGAGGCACCAUAGGUCAGAAAGGUGACCUUUGCAGCAUCUCAUUCUGCUCUCUAUGGUCCAGCAGGAGAUGGCAGAGAGAGGUUUGGAGCUGAAAGGCACCCUUGAAGGUGUGAGAGAACUUCAGAAGCAUCUCUCAGAAGAGCACCCAGCUGCACGUGGGAUUGGAAAGCAUCACUGUCUUCCGUGGAGAUGCCAAAGCUGGAACUAGAUUUCAUGAGACCCAUUACAAAGGACAAUGAAAAAUCUAGAGGUCAGUGAAGAAGCCAGACUUGCAAAAUCUAAAACAGUAUCAAACUGCGAGGUACUGUCUGUUGCCAAGAUAUGACAGCUCCUCUGAAGAAUCAAAGGCACACCUCUCUGGAGCAGUGCUCAGUGAUUCAGCUGAACAAAUGGAGUACAGAUUUACCCUCCAAAUCAGCAUUUUCCUUACAAAGGUGAAGAUCAGGAGCUCUUCACAAAUACAUACUAUCCAUAAGACCUUAUCUUCUGUGGAGAGCUUAAUUAAGGACUCCUUCCUUCUCAGGAGGUAAGGUAAGUGUGCGGGUAAGUGCCGGGAAGACUGGGAAGAUCCUCCUGCCAUACAGACAGACUGCUGUGCAUGAAUGGUAUGUGCCCCCAGUGGCGGGGUGCGCGGCAGCACAGAUGCACUUGCAGUGGCGGGAGCAUGGCAGCAGUAAGCUGGGAGCUCCUGCAGACG
Long non-coding RNA from Alligator mississippiensis (American alligator), 1276 nucleotides. RefSeq lists it as uncharacterized. The record is from RefSeq and is a predicted model, not a curated record. Lineage: Eukaryota; Metazoa; Chordata; Crocodylia; Alligatoridae. The transcript is spliced from 3 exons.